AUUCCAGUGUCGAUCAAGUACU
RNAcentral lists this microRNA (22 nucleotides) under Heliconius melpomene (postman butterfly). RNAcentral's name for it is "Hme-Mir-6304_5p (mature (guide))". The record is from RNAcentral. Lineage: Eukaryota; Metazoa; Arthropoda; Insecta; Lepidoptera; Nymphalidae.